RNAcentral lists this ribosomal RNA (484 nucleotides) under uncultured bacterium. RNAcentral describes it as "partial 16S ribosomal RNA". It matches the Rfam family "Bacterial small subunit ribosomal RNA", at positions 30 to 507 of the family's 1533-position model. The record is from RNAcentral.
AUUGAACGCUGGCGGCAGGCCUAACACAUGCAAGUCGAGCGGAUGAAGGGAGCUUGCUCCUGGAUUCAGCGGCGGACGGGUGAGUAAUGCCUAGGAAUCUGCCUGGUAGUGGGGGAUAACGUCCGGAAACGGGCGCUAAUACCGCAUACGUCCUGCGGGAGAAAGUGGGGGAUCUUCGGACCUCACGCUAUCAGAUGAGUCUAGGUCGGAUUAGCUAGUUGGUGGGGUAAAGGCCUACCAAGGCGACGAUCCGCAACUGGUCUGAGAGGAUGAUCAGUCACACUGGAGCUGGGCCACGGUCAAGGCUCCUACGGGAGGCAGCAGUGGGGAAUGUUGGACAAUGGUCGAAAACCUGACCCAACCGUGCCGCGUGUGUGAAGAAAGUCUUCGGAUUGUGAAGCACUUUAAGUUGGGAGGAAGGGUAGUAAGUUGAUACCUUGCUGUUUUGACGUUACCAACAGAAUAAGCACCGGCUAACUACGUG